GCAUCAGAUCUCUGUGGCCUUCAGGACGAGAGAAAAUCACAGGUCUAAAAGCCUGUGUCAGAGAUGGCUCGAGGUUUUGCUGAAGAAAAUCAUGCAGCUGUCGGAUCUUAAAAGGACAGAAACGCACACUGAUGGAGCCGUAGAGAACCGUAUUCACAGAAGCUCUCCAUGCGGGACGUUAUUCCUGAAUCCUCUUGAUUAUGUGACGGAAGGAUUUGCUCCUGAUUCUCUGUGACUCGGAGACC
Long non-coding RNA from Carassius carassius (crucian carp), 245 nucleotides. RefSeq lists it as uncharacterized. Lineage: Eukaryota; Metazoa; Chordata; Actinopteri; Cypriniformes; Cyprinidae. The transcript has 3 exons. The record is from RefSeq and is a predicted model, not a curated record.